This is a non-coding RNA of Cinara cedri, 1054 nucleotides long. Lineage: Eukaryota; Metazoa; Arthropoda; Insecta; Hemiptera; Aphididae. The record is from the annotation of a GenBank genome assembly.
GGGUGAAAAAUAUUCUACUGUUGGUUUUAUUUAUAUGUUGUGUGUACGAGUACAAUUAAUUUGUAUCAAAAUCGUGUAAAACAUAUCUUACUCGUAUGAACGUAUCUAAGAUUUAACAUAUGUAUAUCGGUAAGUGUUUGUUUGAAUAUGACAAUAAACAUUAUAGUUUUGAUAACAUAAAUAUAAAAUAUGUUAUUUAUAAAGUAAAAAUGUACCAAAUUGAAUAGUAACUAAUAAAUUAGUUAUAUUUACUUUUUGCAGUACAUUAAAUCUUCUUAUAAUUUAUAUUUUGUUUUUAACAUUGAAUUGUAUACCACAUUGUUGUUAUUAUUUUUACUUUUAUUUUUGUUUGUAUUUAAAUAUUUGAGCAGCAUUGAUAAGUUUACAUAAAUUUAAGAAACAUAAUGGACUCUUGUCUCCCCACAAGCUCAGGCUUUUGGACACAAAUUUGUUCGCAUUCUAUUAUUAUUUUAUUUUGUUUAAUUGUAACUAAGUAUAAAUCUAUCUUUCUAACAUAUGUAUGUUGGUGCUUAAUUAUAGAUCAUAAUACAAUCACUUUUAUUUAUGAAAUACACUGAAAUGAUGUCAUCGAUCAAAAUCAGUCAAGAAUAUCCAACUAUACAUUCUACGUUCAAGGAGAGUAAUAAAGAGACGAUUGGACAUUUAGGUAAGCGAAGAUAAGUUAUUGAAAAAAAAAAAACACGAACAGGCAUUACUAAAUAGUACUUUUACCUCGUGAAGAAUGUAUAGUAUUCAUAGAUGUCAGUAGUAUUUGUUUGGACUCGAACAUUGCGGGACAAUUGAUUUAGCUCUCGUGAAUUUCAUAUUGAAUUGGCUCCUAACAUCGUAUUUUGCUUAGUGUUUUUAUUGAUAAUUAAUUAUAAAUUGUAUUCAUUAUUUUUAAUUUUAGUAUGAAAAGGGGACACAUUGGCGGAAUGUUUUGAAAAUAUGGCCAUAUUUAAAAGUAAUAUCAUAAGUUUUCUGUACAAAUGUCGAGUCUUUAUGAUUAUUUUUAACCAAAUUACAAUGAAAAAACAAAAUCGAAAAUAAUAUC